AUCACUUCUUGGCUUUUGGCUAAGAUCAAGUGCAGUAUCUGUACUUAUCAGUUUAAUAUAAAUGUUAGUAAUUUAGAGCACUUUUGGAAAGCAAUUCAAAAAUAUCUGUCGACAUUAA
This 118-nucleotide small nuclear RNA is filed under the name Otolemur garnettii (small-eared galago). RNAcentral describes it as "U2 spliceosomal RNA". It matches the Rfam family "U2 spliceosomal RNA". Rfam says of the family: U2 is a small nuclear RNA (snRNA) component of the spliceosome (involved in pre-mRNA splicing). Complementary binding between U2 snRNA (in an area lying towards the 5' end but 3' to hairpin I) and the branchpoint sequence (BPS) of the intron results the bulging out of an unpaired adenosine, on the BPS, which initiates a nucleophilic attack at the intronic 5' splice site, thus starting the first of two transesterification reactions that mediate splicing. Lineage: Eukaryota; Metazoa; Chordata; Mammalia; Primates; Galagidae. The record is from Rfam by way of RNAcentral.